Molecule: unclassified non-coding RNA, 299 nt
Filed under: Hevea brasiliensis (rubber tree)
Lineage: Eukaryota; Viridiplantae; Streptophyta; Magnoliopsida; Malpighiales; Euphorbiaceae
Source: RNAcentral
GUCUCUUUGAGGGCAUGGACUGGUAAGUUCAGCAAAAAUUAACUGGUAGAUAUUUGGGUUUGAUUUUUAAGAUGCUGAGUAUAGGCCUACUGCAUGUAUAAACUUUCUGCAAAUAGUGUGUAUCAUCCUUCCUACACUAAAUGCCUUGUUUGUUUACUGAGAACAAGAGAUCAGGAAUUGGAUUGGCAGUGAAGCCUUGAUGUCCAUUAUCGCAUGGGACCUAGGUCUUAGAAACUCAAAAUUAUAAUGGUCUUUGUUUCCAUUCUCAUUCUUUUGUGAUGAUAAAGUGGGGGUUAUUG